Molecule: ribosomal RNA, 253 nt
Filed under: uncultured bacterium
Lineage: Bacteria
Description: partial 16S ribosomal RNA
Rfam family: Bacterial small subunit ribosomal RNA
Source: RNAcentral
UACGAAGGGGGCUAGCGUUGCUCGGAAUCACUGGGCGUAAAGGGCGCGUAGGCGGCCAUUCAAGUCGGGGGUGAAAGCCCAGGGCUCAACCCUGGAAUUGCCUUCGAUACUGUCUGGCUAGAGACCGGAAGAGGUAAGUGGAACUGCGAGUGUAGAGGUGAAAUUCGUAGAUAUUCGCAAGAACACCAGUGGCGAAGGCGGCUUACUGGUCCGGUUCUGACGCUGAGGCGCGAAAGCGUGGGGAGCGAACAGG